CAAGCGGAUCUCUUAAAGCCGUUCUCAGUUCGGACNGUAGGCUGCAACUCGCCUACACGAAGCUGGAAUCGCUAGUAAUCGCGGAUCAGCACGCCGCGGUGAAUACGUUCCCGGGCCUUGUACACACCGCCCGUCACACCAUGGAAGUCUGCAAUGCCCGAAGCCGGUGGCCUAACCACUUAUGUGGAAGGAGCCGUCUAAGGCAGGGCAGAUGACUGGGGUGAAGUCGUAACAAGGUAAC
RNAcentral lists this ribosomal RNA (241 nucleotides) under uncultured bacterium. RNAcentral describes it as "partial 16S ribosomal RNA". It matches the Rfam family "Bacterial small subunit ribosomal RNA", at positions 1264 to 1500 of the family's 1533-position model. The record is from RNAcentral.